GGUUAUAGCUUAGCUGGUAAAAAGCAUCGGUUUGUGACACCGGAGACCGCGGGUUCGAGACCCGCUG
This 67-nucleotide transfer RNA is filed under the name uncultured eukaryote. It matches the Rfam family "tRNA", at positions 6 to 65 of the family's 71-position model. From Rfam's summary of the family: Transfer RNA (tRNA) molecules are approximately 80 nucleotides in length. Their secondary structure includes four short double-helical elements and three loops (D, anti-codon, and T loops). The record is from RNAcentral.